RNAcentral lists this non-coding RNA (21 nucleotides) under Arabidopsis thaliana (thale cress). Lineage: Eukaryota; Viridiplantae; Streptophyta; Magnoliopsida; Brassicales; Brassicaceae. The record is from RNAcentral.
UCCAGAUUCAAGUAGAUUAGU